CAGUAGCCGCGGUAAUACAGAGGGUGCGAGCGUUAAUCGGAAUUAUUGGGCGUAAAGGGUGCGUAGGCGGUUUGACAAGUCUUAUGUGAAAUCUUCGGGCUCAACCCGAAGUCUGCAUGGGAAACUGUCGGGCUUGAGUAUGGGAGAGGUGAGUGGAAUUUCCGGUGUAGCGGUGAAAUGCGUAGAUAUCGGAAGGAACACCUGUGGCGAAAGCGGCUCACUGGACCAUAACUGACGCUGAUGCACGAAAGCUAGGGGAGCAGACAGGAUUAGAUACCCGGGUAGUCCCUGUCUCUUAUAC
Molecule: ribosomal RNA, 301 nt
Filed under: uncultured bacterium
Lineage: Bacteria
Description: partial 16S ribosomal RNA
Rfam family: Bacterial small subunit ribosomal RNA
Source: RNAcentral